RNAcentral lists this ribosomal RNA (550 nucleotides) under uncultured bacterium. Its description in RNAcentral is "bacterial SSU rRNA". It matches the Rfam family "Bacterial small subunit ribosomal RNA", at positions 355 to 896 of the family's 1533-position model. The record is from RNAcentral.
UAGGGAAUCUUCGGCAAUGGACGGAANUCNNGACCGAGCAACGCCGCGUGAGUGAAGAAGGUUUUCGGAUCGUAAAGCUCUGUUGUAAGAGAAGAACGAGUGUGAGAGUGGAAAGUUCACACUGUGACGGUAUCUUACCAGAAAGGGACGGCUAACUACGUGCCAGCAGCCGCGGUAAUACGUAGGUCCCGAGCGUUGUCCGGAUUUAUUGGGCGUAAAGCGAGCGCAGGCGGUUAGAUAAGUCUGAAGUUAAAGGCUGUGGCUUAACCAUAGUAGGCUUUGGAAACUGUUUAACUUGAGUGCAAGAGGGGAGAGUGGAAUUCCACGUGCAGCGGUGAAAUGCGUAGAUAUAUGGAGGAACACCGGUGGCGAAAGCGGCUCUCUGGCUUGUAACUGACGCUGAGGCUCGAAAGCGUGGGGAGCAAACAGGAUUAGAUACCCUGGUAGUCCACGCUGUAAACGAUGAGUGCUAGGUGUUAGACCCUUUCCGGGGUUUAGUGCCGUAGCUAACGCAUUAAGCACUCCGCCUGGGGAGUACGACCGCAAGUUG